GGCGACGGCGGCGAUUAGGAGGGAGUCGUGGGAUUCGGACCAUGCGAGGUCGUAAACACCGUCGGCAGUGUCGAAGGCGACGAGUUCGGUGAGAGCGGGAGCGGCGGGGGAGAGGUCGAGGACGUGGACGCGGCCAUUACCGAGGAUUCCGAAGUUUUGGGCGGUGGCAACGGCGAGACGGGACUCGUAGAAGGGAGAGAAUUUGACGGAGUAGCCGUUAAAUGGGGUUUUGAAGACGGGCAUCUUUGGUGUUGUUAUUUGCCGGUGGAGUUGACGGAGUUAUCUGUACUCAAGUUUCAUCUGGUGCUACUAGUGUGUAUCGUGUUGUUGUCAGUUUGAGCGUUUGCG
Molecule: long non-coding RNA, 348 nt
Filed under: Citrus sinensis (sweet orange)
Lineage: Eukaryota; Viridiplantae; Streptophyta; Magnoliopsida; Sapindales; Rutaceae
Description: long non-coding RNA (CSIN_LNC000532)
Source: RNAcentral